This 207-nucleotide ribosomal RNA is filed under the name Drosophila guanche. RNAcentral describes it as "LSU_rRNA_eukarya". It matches the Rfam family "Eukaryotic large subunit ribosomal RNA", at positions 967 to 1160 of the family's 3401-position model. Lineage: Eukaryota; Metazoa; Arthropoda; Insecta; Diptera; Drosophilidae. The record is from RNAcentral.
UUUCCCUCAGGAUAGCUGGUGCAUUUUAAUGUUAUAUAAAAUAAUCUUAUCUGGUAAAGCGAAUGAUUAGAGGCCUUAGGGUCGAAACGAUCUUAACCUAUUCUCAAACUUUAAAUGGGUAAGAACCUUAACUUUCUUGAUAUGAAGUUUAAGGUUAUGAUAUAAUGUGCCCAGUGGGCCACUUUUGGUAAGCAGAACUGAAAUAAA